RNAcentral lists this ribosomal RNA (1704 nucleotides) under Pluralibacter gergoviae. Its description in RNAcentral is "bacterial LSU rRNA". It matches the Rfam family "Bacterial large subunit ribosomal RNA", at positions 1256 to 2925 of the family's 2925-position model. Lineage: Bacteria; Pseudomonadati; Pseudomonadota; Gammaproteobacteria; Enterobacterales; Enterobacteriaceae. The record is from RNAcentral.
GUGUGCUGUGAGGCAUGCUGGAGGUAUCAGAAGUGCGAAUGCUGACAUAAGUAACGAUAAAGCGGGUGAAAAGCCCGCUCGCCGGAAGACCAAGGGUUCCUGUCCAACGUUAAUCGGGGCAGGGUGAGUCGACCCCUAAGGCGAGGCCGAAAGGCGUAGUCGAUGGGAAACAGGUUAAUAUUCCUGUACUUGGUGUUACUGCGAAGGGGGGACGGAGAAGGCUAUGUUAGCCGGGCGACGGUUGUCCCGGUUUAAGCAUGUAGGCGGAGGUUCCAGGUAAAUCCGGUACCUUUUAACGCUGAGGUGUGAUGACGAGGCACUACGGUGCUGAAGUAACAAAUGCCCUGCUUCCAGGAAAAGCCUCUAAGCUCCAGGUAACACGAAAUCGUACCCCAAACCGACACAGGUGGUCAGGUAGAGAAUACCAAGGCGCUUGAGAGAACUCGGGUGAAGGAACUAGGCAAAAUGGUGCCGUAACUUCGGGAGAAGGCACGCUGACAUGUAGGUGAAGCCCCUGCGGGUGGAGCUGAAGUCAGUCGAAGAUACCAGCUGGCUGCAACUGUUUAUUAAAAACACAGCACUGUGCAAACACGAAAGUGGACGUAUACGGUGUGACGCCUGCCCGGUGCCGGAAGGUUAAUUGAUGGGGUUAUCCGUAAGGAGAAGCUCUUGAUCGAAGCCCCGGUAAACGGCGGCCGUAACUAUAACGGUCCUAAGGUAGCGAAAUUCCUUGUCGGGUAAGUUCCGACCUGCACGAAUGGCGUAAUGAUGGCCAGGCUGUCUCCACCCGAGACUCAGUGAAAUUGAACUCGCUGUGAAGAUGCAGUGUACCCGCGGCAAGACGGAAAGACCCCGUGAACCUUUACUAUAGCUUGACACUGAACAUUGAGCCUUGAUGUGUAGGAUAGGUGGGAGGCUUUGAAGCGUGGACGCCAGUCUGCGUGGAGCCAACCUUGAAAUACCACCCUUUAAUGUUUGAUGUUCUAACCUGGCGCCGUAAUCCGGCGUGGGGACAGUGUCUGGUGGGUAGUUUGACUGGGGCGGUCUCCUCCUAAAGAGUAACGGAGGAGCACGAAGGUUGGCUAAUCCUGGUCGGACAUCAGGAGGUUAGUGCAAUGGCAUAAGCCAGCUUGACUGCGAGCGUGACGGCGCGAGCAGGUGCGAAAGCAGGUCAUAGUGAUCCGGUGGUUCUGAAUGGAAGGGCCAUCGCUCAACGGAUAAAAGGUACUCCGGGGAUAACAGGCUGAUACCGCCCAAGAGUUCAUAUCGACGGCGGUGUUUGGCACCUCGAUGUCGGCUCAUCACAUCCUGGGGCUGAAGUAGGUCCCAAGGGUAUGGCUGUUCGCCAUUUAAAGUGGUACGCGAGCUGGGUUUAGAACGUCGUGAGACAGUUCGGUCCCUAUCUGCCGUGGGCGCUGGAGAAUUGAGGGGGGCUGCUCCUAGUACGAGAGGACCGGAGUGGACGCAUCACUGGUGUUCGGGUUGUCAUGCCAAUGGCAUUGCCCGGUAGCUACAUGCGGAAGAGAUAAGUGCUGAAAGCAUCUAAGCACGAAACUUGCCCCGAGAUGAGUUCUCCCUGAGACUUAGAGUCUCCUGAAGGAACGUUGAAGACGACGACGUUGAUAGGCCGGGUGUGUAAGCGCAGCGAUGCGUUGAGCUAACCGGUACUAAUGAACCGUGAGGCUUAACCUUACAACGCCGAAG